Molecule: transfer RNA, 70 nt
Filed under: Loxodonta africana (African savanna elephant)
Lineage: Eukaryota; Metazoa; Chordata; Mammalia; Proboscidea; Elephantidae
Rfam family: tRNA
About the family: Transfer RNA (tRNA) molecules are approximately 80 nucleotides in length. Their secondary structure includes four short double-helical elements and three loops (D, anti-codon, and T loops). Further hydrogen bonds mediate the characteristic L-shaped molecular structure. tRNAs have two regions of fundamental functional importance: the anti-codon, which is responsible for specific mRNA codon recognition, and the 3' end, to which the tRNAs corresponding amino acid is attached (by aminoacyl-tRNA synthetases). tRNAs cope with the degeneracy of the genetic code in two manners: having more than one tRNA (with a specific anti-codon) for a particular amino acid; and 'wobble' base-pairing, i.e. permitting non-standard base-pairing at the 3rd anti-codon position.
Source: Rfam by way of RNAcentral
GUCUUGGUAGUUCAGUGGUAGAAUUCUAGCCUUCCGUGCUGGAGACCUGAGUUCGAUUCUAGCCAAUGUA